GGUUGACCUCGGAUCAGGUAGGGAUACCCGCUGAACUUAAGCAUAUCAAUAAGCGGAGGAAAAGAAACCAACAGGGAUUGCCUCAGUAACGGCGAGUGAAGCGGCAAGAGCUCAAAUUUGAAAGCUGGCCCCUUCGGGGUCCGCGUUGUAAUUUGCAGAGGAUGCUUCGGGUGCAGCCCCCGUCUAAGUGCCCUGGAACGGGCCGUCAUAGAGGGUGAGAAUCCCGUCUGGGACGGGGUGUCUGCGUCCGUGUGAAGCUCCUUCGACGAGUCGAGUUGUUUGGGAAUGCAGCUCUAAAUGGGUGGUAAAUUUCAUCUAAAGCUAAAUACUGGCCGGAGACCGAUAGCGCACAAGUAGAGUGAUCGAAAGAUGAAAAGCACUUUGAAAAGAGAGUUAAACAGCACGUGAAAUUGUUGAAAGGGAAGCGUUUGCGACCAGACUCGCCCGCGGGGUUCAGCCGGCAUUCGUGCCGGUGUACUUCCCCGUGGGCGGGCCAGCGUCGGUUUGGGCGGCCGGUCAAAGGCCCUCGGAAUGUGUCACCCCUCGGGGUGUCUUAUAGCCGAGGGUGCAAUGCGGCCUGCCCGGACCGAGGAACGCGCUUCGGCUCGGACGCUGGCGUAAUGGUCGUAAAUGACC
RNAcentral lists this ribosomal RNA (636 nucleotides) under Aspergillus tatenoi. RNAcentral's name for it is "partial 28S ribosomal RNA". It matches the Rfam family "Eukaryotic large subunit ribosomal RNA", at positions 1 to 649 of the family's 3401-position model. Lineage: Eukaryota; Fungi; Ascomycota; Eurotiomycetes; Eurotiales; Aspergillaceae. The record is from RNAcentral.